This 1039-nucleotide long non-coding RNA is filed under the name Capra hircus (goat). RNAcentral's name for it is "lncRNA (ENSCHIG00010023071.1)". The record is from RNAcentral. Lineage: Eukaryota; Metazoa; Chordata; Mammalia; Artiodactyla; Bovidae.
UACAAAUAAAUAAUUUUUCAGAUUCUUUUCCACUUUAGAUUAUUAUAAGAUAUUGAAUAUAGUUCCCUGUGCUAUACAGUAGGCCCUUGUUUAUCUGUUUUCUAUAGAGUCCUUUAAUACUCCUUAAUGGAAAGGUACAUAUAAGAAGCUCAGAAUCCUGAUGGUAAGCCACAGUCCCUCGUUCGUCUGCCCUUGGGGAAAGUCCGACUUUGUGUAAUUGCCCCUGCUUUCCUUUUCUCCUCCAGGCAAUGAUUGCUUCUCAGUGUUAGCGUUUCAUCUUAGAGUUCUCCCUUUUUACUUUGCUGCAUUUUAAAAAUUUACUAGUAUGAACAUGUAUUAUUUUCAUAAUAAAACAGAGGAUAAAUUAUAUUGUAAAAGCACAGGUCAGUCAGAGAGAUGAUGCAAGCCGAAAAUCAUUCCGUGGGAGCGGAGACCAAGAGGAGGAGGUGAACUUGAGAAGGAGAGAUUCGGGAAACAGAAUUGACAGGGCUGGGUCACAGCAGUGGCAGGAGAUUUAGGAAGGAACACUCGUUUUAUGUCAUUGUGGCCUUUAUUUUUUUUAAGACAAAUAGAGCAUUACAAGAGGUUUUUUGAUUUUUAGGUUUUUUUUUUUUCCCCACAUUCACAGCCAUUAUAUGUUAAACAUAUUUCACUAUUUUCAAUCACCUAUCUGUUUAAGGUAAUUUGCCAGGUAAUUUUUUUAGUCCACCAUGUAAAUGUUUACAUUUGAGGUCAUUAAAAAAGCUUUGGUGAAAUAAAGGGAGUCUAUUUUCUUGUAGAAGUUUUUGUUUCCAGUUUACCUUAAUUUAGUGAUAACAGAACCCUUCUGUGGGAAUGUCUUGCAGUGAUAUUGAUUUGAAAAACAAAAGGAAAGGCCUCAAAGAUAAAAAGUCCUAAAAAGGAAUGUUUGAAGAGCAUUAACUAUACCACAUUUAUCAGAUUGGCAAUUAUGCCCCCUUCAGUUCAGUGCAGUUCAGUGGCUCAGUCGUGUCUGAUUCUUUGUGACCCCAUGAACUGCAGCUCACCAGGCCUCCCUGUC